This 95-nucleotide transfer RNA is filed under the name Nocardioides sp. LS1. Its description in RNAcentral is "tRNA-Arg". Lineage: Bacteria; Bacillati; Actinomycetota; Actinomycetes; Propionibacteriales; Nocardioidaceae. The record is from RNAcentral.
GCGGCCUUUCGGCGCCCGGCUGGCCGGCAUCCUCUUCGGCGGGAUGCUGCUGGUGGUCUGCGCGUUCGCGUGGUUCGGCUUCGACGAGGCCACCC